Molecule: unclassified non-coding RNA, 371 nt
Filed under: uncultured Ignavibacteria bacterium
Lineage: Bacteria; Pseudomonadati; Ignavibacteriota; Ignavibacteria
Description: contains 16S-23S intergenic spacer region
Source: RNAcentral
UCUCGGCUUAUCACCGGCAGUCCCCUUAGAGUGCCCAACUGAAUGCUGGCAACUAAGGGCGAGGGUUUCGCUCGUUAUAGGACUUAACCAAACACCUCACGGCACGAGCUGACGACAGCCAUGCAGCACCUGUACUCCCCCCCUUGCGGGUACCCGUCCUUCAACGGUUUAGAGAGCCUUUCAAGCCUAGGUAAGGUUCUUCGCGUUGCAUCGAAUUAAACCACAUGCUCCACUGCUUGUGCGGGCCCCCGUCAAUUCCUUUGAGUUUCACCCUUGCGAGCGUACUCCCCAGGUGGUACACUUAACGCGUUAGCUACGACACCGACCCUAAGGGCCGACAUCAAGUGUACAUCGUUUAGGGCAUGGACUAC